GGGCCCGCACAAGCAGUGGAGUAUGUGGUUUAAUUCGACGCAACGCGAAAAACCUUACCGGGUCUUGACAUCUAACUAACGAAGCAGAGAUGCAUUAGGUGCCCUUCGGGGAAAGUUAAGACAGGUGGUGCAUGGUUGUCGUCAGCUCGUGUCGUGAGAUGUUGGGUUAAGUCCCGCAACGAGCGCAACCCCUAUUGUCAGUUGCUACGAAAGAGCACUCUGGCAAGACUGCCGUUGACAAAACGGAGGAAGGUGGGGAUGACGUCAAAUCAUCAUGCCCUUUAUGACCUGGGCUACACACGUACUACAAUGGCGGUUAACAAAGAGGAGCGACGGAGUGAUCCUGAGCAAAUCUCCAAAAACCGUCUCAGUUCGGAUUGCAGGCUGAAACUCGCCUGCAUGAAGUUGGAAUUGCUAGUAAUCGUAAAUCAGCAUGUUACGGUGAAUACGUUCCCGGGCCUU
RNAcentral lists this ribosomal RNA (462 nucleotides) under uncultured bacterium. RNAcentral's name for it is "bacterial SSU rRNA". It matches the Rfam family "Bacterial small subunit ribosomal RNA", at positions 917 to 1382 of the family's 1533-position model. The record is from RNAcentral.